Long non-coding RNA from Pomacea canaliculata, 1141 nucleotides. RefSeq lists it as uncharacterized. NCBI's taxonomy places the organism in Eukaryota, Metazoa, Mollusca, Gastropoda, Architaenioglossa, Ampullariidae. The record is from RefSeq and is a predicted model, not a curated record. The transcript has 5 exons.
UGAAUGGUGUGAUCAGAUUUCGUCGACACCGCGGAAAGCAAGGAAUGGCGCCCCUGAGGGUCCGCCCAAUACACUGGCAGCCAGUGAUCCUACACAGCGUUCACCCCGGAGGUGUGCCUCCUGCGUGCAUACCUUUCACUCUUACACUAAACACCCAUAAUGAUCGAACACAGAAGUCGAUUCUAUACACGACAGCCUGGCUUAGCUAAACGGCUCACACUUUCGCCCUUCUGACUCUGGCUAGAGGUGAUAUACUUCAGUACUCACACAGCUCAAACGGAGGACAAAAGCUGGGUACAGACAGCCUCGGAUCUGUCCAUGCUUUCCUUUUUCAGAGAUGGCUAUCAUGAAGCAUAACAAAGGAUCUUAGAUCUGGCGACUUUUGGUUCCUCCAGGAACUAUAUAGUACUUCUACAUAUUGAAGAAUUGCUUAAUUGGCGAUUAUUUAGCAAACAGCUGCACCCCAAACAGUCUCUGAGACGUCUAGGAAGCCAGCACCACCAUGAGGAACUUGCAGGAGGUCCCUGAUCAGUUCGUCAUAGACCUCCAGUACUUGCAUACUUACUUGUGCAUCUUGCUGUGAUAACUUUCGCUGACUUGUCAGAUGGUCUGGAGUGGACAGAAUAUCCAAUCUUGGCUCAAGGCUUACAUUUGCCACUGAGAUGAUGCGCUGGUAGAAACGAUCGACGCCUAAAACCAUCGAUCCUGACUGUUGAAGAAAUGAGACCGUCUAAGAGGAGGGACUGCACUGACAAAAAGACUGACAUAUUCGGUGAUCCCAACGUGAUUCACAUGGCGAUCUGUGCCGAUGUGACGUGACCUCCACCAUGAUCAAAGACACACUUUGCCUCCGAGGUGAGAGAGAUUGUAAUUGCUUUUUCUGGUUUCCUCGCGCUGAGAUAAAUUGCAUUGUAAAUUGUUUCUUCCCCGUCUCCAACUCUACAGGUCUGUUAGGAACUGAACAACAGCAAGCUUUGCCAUCGGGACAUUACUUGCUGGUUAAUUUUGUCCUGCUUUGAAAGCAGAUAUAAAUGUGACAGCUCCCAAGCUGACUGAAAUCUUCAAGCAAGUUUGGGAAUCAGGGCAGCUCCCUGUUGCUUGGAAGACAGGGCUCAUCUUCAAGUUACCCAAGAAAGGAGAU